UAAGCAUCCAAGAAACCGCCUCCAAGGAGUGUAGAACUGCUCUGGACAUCUCUGCUUGCCAAAAGAUUACUAUGAAGAUCGCACUGGUAUAUCGCCUCCAAGGAGUGUAUAUCGAGGUGACUUAUUCUCUUUACUAUCACAAUGUCACACAAAUUAACUUUGCCUUUCAUUUAACCACAAUCAAUCAUACUCACAAGCAAGUUAUCAUCACAAGGACUUUUUAUGGCUUGUAACGUCGUUGGGCUAAGAAGAACAUUGGUUUUUCUGGAUCACAAAAUCCUUGAGUUAAGAGAGUUAUUCACAUUUAUAGUUUAAACACAAACUCUCUUUAAACAACCAAUCUCACUCAUUCCCAACUUUCCCUUUUCUUUGCAUUGAGCUUUUCUUCUCAUUUUAUCUUUUUUUUUUAUAUUUUCUAUCUUUUUCAUCUUUCCAUGUUUUGCUCAAUACAUUAGCUCAAUGCUUAUGUUUUUCUUUUUCAACUUUCCCAACAGCCCCAAACUUGAACCUUUAUCAAUACCAAACAAUAAUUCUCAACUUAACUCAAGGUAAAGAUUUGCAAAAGGAUUUUCUCAUACUGUUUAAGACUUAGGUUCAAAAACGGUAGAACACAUUCUGCUCUUUUUAAUUAGGAUGAAAGUUUU
RNAcentral lists this long non-coding RNA (644 nucleotides) under Vigna radiata. RNAcentral's name for it is "long non-coding RNA (VRAD_LNC013874)". Lineage: Eukaryota; Viridiplantae; Streptophyta; Magnoliopsida; Fabales; Fabaceae. The record is from RNAcentral.